Delphinapterus leucas (beluga whale) is the source of this 107-nucleotide small nuclear RNA. The record is from Ensembl. Lineage: Eukaryota; Metazoa; Chordata; Mammalia; Artiodactyla; Monodontidae.
AUGCUUACUUCGGCAGCACUUAUACUAAAAUUGGAACUAUACAGAGAUGAUUAGCAUGACCCCUGUGCAAGGAUGACAUGCAAAUUUGCAAAGCAUUCCAUAUUUUU